Molecule: ribosomal RNA, 482 nt
Filed under: Streptococcus parasanguinis
Lineage: Bacteria; Bacillati; Bacillota; Bacilli; Lactobacillales; Streptococcaceae
Description: bacterial SSU rRNA
Rfam family: Bacterial small subunit ribosomal RNA
Source: RNAcentral
GAUGAACGCUGGCGGCGUGCCUAAUACAUGCAAGUAGAACGCUGAAGCUUGGUGCUUGCACCGAGCGGAUGAGUUGCGAACGGGUGAGUAACGCGUAGGUAACCUGCCUCUUAGCGGGGGAUAACUAUUGGAAACGAUAGCUAAUACCGCAUAAAAGUCGACAUCGCAUGAUGUUGACUUGAAAGGUGCAAUUGCAUCACUAAGAGAUGGACCUGCGUUGUAUUAGCUAGUUGGUGAGGUAACGGCUCACCAAGGCGACGAUACAUAGCCGACCUGAGAGGGUGAUCGGCCACACUGGGACUGAGACACGGCCCAGACUCCUACGGGAGGCAGCAGUAGGGAAUCUUCGGCAAUGGGGGCAACCCUGACCGAGCAACGCCGCGUGAGUGAAGAAGGUUUUCGGAUCGUAAAGCUCUGUUGUAAGAGAAGAACGAGUGUGAGAGUGGAAAGUUCACACUGUGACGGUAUCUUACCAGAAAGGG